This 447-nucleotide ribosomal RNA is filed under the name uncultured bacterium. RNAcentral describes it as "partial 16S ribosomal RNA". It matches the Rfam family "Bacterial small subunit ribosomal RNA", at positions 330 to 793 of the family's 1533-position model. The record is from RNAcentral.
CCCAGACUCCUACGGGAGGCAGCAGUGGGGGAUAUUGCACAAUGGGGGGAACCCUGAUGCAGCGACGCCGCGUGGGUGAAGGAGCGUUUCGGCGCGUAAAGCCCUAUCGGCAGGGAAGAAGGAGGACGGUACCUGACUAAGAAGCCCCGGCUAACUACGUGCCAGCAGCCGCGGUAAUACGUAGGGGGCAAGCGUUAUCCGGAUUUACUGGGUGUAAAGGGGGCGCAGACGGCAGCGCAAGCCAGGAGUGAAAGCCCGGGGCCCAACCCCGGGACUGCUCUUGGAACUGCGCGGCUGGAGUGCAGGAGGGGCAGGCGGAAUUCCUGGUGUAGCGGUGAAAUGCGUAGAUAUCAGGAGGAGCACCGGUGGCGAAGGCGGCCUGCUGGACUGCGACUGACGUUGAGGCCCGAAAGCGUGGGGAGCAAACAGGAUUAGAUACCCUAGUAA